This 126-nucleotide transfer RNA is filed under the name Pyrenophora teres f. teres 0-1. RNAcentral describes it as "tRNA-Pro (TGG) (tRNA-Pro-TGG-1-1)". It matches the Rfam family "tRNA". From Rfam's summary of the family: Transfer RNA (tRNA) molecules are approximately 80 nucleotides in length. Their secondary structure includes four short double-helical elements and three loops (D, anti-codon, and T loops). Lineage: Eukaryota; Fungi; Ascomycota; Dothideomycetes; Pleosporales; Pleosporaceae. The record is from RNAcentral.
GGCCUGAUGGUCUAGUGGUAUGAUUCCUGCUUUGGGUGCAGGAGGCCCCGGGUGUAAGUUCACCCAAUAAGUUUCGAUCUCGUACACAAUUUCUAAUCAGCGUACAGUCGAAUCCCGGUCAGGCCC